Molecule: ribosomal RNA, 1527 nt
Filed under: 'Brassica rapa' phyllody phytoplasma
Lineage: Bacteria; Bacillati; Mycoplasmatota; Mollicutes; Acholeplasmatales; Acholeplasmataceae
Also listed under: 3 other names
Description: 16S ribosomal RNA
Rfam family: Bacterial small subunit ribosomal RNA
Source: RNAcentral
AAGAGUUUGAUCCUGGCUCAGGAUUAACGCUGGCGGCGCGCCUAAUACAUGCAAGUCGAACGGAAACCUUCGGGUUUUAGUGGCGAACGGGUGAGUAACACGUAAGCAACCUGCCUUUAAGACGUGGAUAACAAUUGGAAACAGUUGCUAAGACAGGAUAGGAAAUUAAGAGGCAUCUUUUAAUUUUUAAAAGACCUUUUUCGAAAGGUAUACUUAAAGAGGGGCUUGCGCCACAUUAGUUAGUUGGUAAGGUAAAGGCUUACCAAGACGAUGAUGUGUAGCUGGACUGAGAGGUCGAACAGCCACAUUGGGACUGAGACACGGCCCAAACUCCUACGGGAGGCAGCAGUAAGGAAUUUUUGGCAAUGGAGGAAACUCUGACCGAGCGACGUCGCGUGAACAAUGAAGUACUUCGGUAUGUAAAGUUCUUUUAUUGAAAAAGAAAAAAUAGUGGAAAAACUAUCUUGACAUUAUUCAAUGAAUAAGCCCCGGCUAAUUAUGUGCCAGCAGCCGCGGUAAUACAUAAGGGGCGAGCGUUAUCCGGAAUUAUUGGGCGUAAAGGGUGCGUAGGCGGUUUGAUAAGUCUAUAGUUUAAAUGCAGUGCUUAACGCUGUAGCGCUAUAGAAACUGUCUGACUAGAGUUAGAUAGAGGCAAGCGGAAUUCCAUGUGUAGCGGUAAAAUGCGUAAAUAUAUGGAGGAACACCAGAGGCGUAGGCGGCUUGCUGGGUCUUAACUGACGCUGAGGCACGAAAGCGUGGGGAGCAAACAGGAUUAGAUACCCUGGUAGUCCACGCCGUAAACGAUGAGUACUAAGUGUCGGGUUUCGGCUCGGUACUGAAGUUAACACAUUAAGUACUCCGCCUGAGUAGUACGUACGCAAGUAUGAAACUUAAAGGAAUUGACGGGACCCCGCACAAGCGGUGGAUCAUGUUGUUUAAUUCGAAGAUACACGAAAAACCUUACCAGGUCUUGACAUAAUUUUGCGACAUUAUAGAAAUAUAAUGAAGGUUAUCAGAAUUACAGGUGGUGCAUGGUUGUCGUCAGCUCGUGUCGUGAGAUGUUAGGUUAAGUCCUAAAACGAGCGCAACCCUUGUCGUUAGUUGCGACCACGUAAUGGUGAGCACUUUAGCGAGACUGCCAAUGAAAAAUUGGAGGAAGGUGAGGAUUACGUCAAAUCAUCAUGCCCCUUAUGAUCUGGGCUACAAACGUGAUACAAUGGCUGUUACAAAGAGUAGCUACAACGUGAGUUUUUAGCCAAUCUCAAAAAAACAGUCUCAGUUCGGAUUGAAGUCUGCAACUCGACUUCAUGAAGUUGGAAUCGCUAGUAAUCGCGAAUCAGCAUGUCGCGGUGAAUACGUUCUCGGGGUUUGUACACACCGCCCGUCAAACCACGAAAGUUGAUAAUACCCGAAAGCGGUCGCCUAACUUCGUCAGAAGAGGGAGCCGUCUAAGGUAGGAUCGAUGAUUGGGGUUAAGUCGUAACAAGGUAUCCCUACCGGAAGGUGGGGAUGGAUCACCUCCUUUCU